Non-coding RNA from Podarcis lilfordi (Lilford's wall lizard), 15963 nucleotides. Lineage: Eukaryota; Metazoa; Chordata; Lepidosauria; Squamata; Lacertidae. The record is from the annotation of a GenBank genome assembly.
AUUGCUUUUCUGCCUUCGUUCAGCAGCUCUCAGACGGAGCCUGCAAGAGGCAGUGGGUGCCUGCAGCUUCCAGGAGCUUGGGUCUUCUGAAGCCAGACCCCAGCCAUGCUUGAUGUGAGCAUGGUUGUGGCAGGGAUAUUGAUCCUUCUCUACCACCUGGGGAAAUUUUACAGCCCCUAUUUUUGGCAGGACGUGGUCUCCUUCUUUCACAUCCUUCAAUUAGGAUACAAAUGCCACAUGCGUCUCUGGCGCAAACAUCCCAUCACCUUACUGGAAUUCUUCUUGGCCAAAGUCCAGAAGCACCCAGAGAAGCCCCUGGUCCUCUUUGGAGACGAAACCUAUUCCUACCGAGAUAUCGACAGGCGCAGCAGUCAGCUGGCCAGAGUGCUCCUGGACCACGUGGGGCUGAAAGAAGGGGAAACGGUGGCUGUUUUCCUCAAGAACGUCCCUGCCUAUCUCUGGGUCUGGAUGGGACUGGAGAAGAUUGGCAGUGUCAUGGCGUGUAUUAACUAUAACAUCCGAGCCAAGUCUCUCUUGCAUGCCCUCAGCUCCUGCAAGGCCAAAGUGCUACUGACAACUCCAGGUGAUGGUGACUGUUGGCUAGUGGGAAAUAGCUGCACCUCAGGGGGGAAAUGAAAGCAUGUCUGGACUGCACAGUUAGGCCAGUUUGACCACUGCUCUCCUCUGGGCAAGGAAUCCUGGCAGCAGCCCCAGACAGCUGCUUUUGAGUGUCAUGAGUGAAUAGUUAAAUUUGUUUAAAUCACAUUUCUGCUUCCAGGGAAAGGGGUUUGUGUAGAAAGGGGUUUGUGGCCAGUUUUCGGUGGGGAGCACCAUUUGCAACUCUUCUUCUUGCAGCAACGUUUCUUGGGCUGGAUCCGGAAGAGAUUGCGACUAGGAGCUUGUCCACACUUACCUUUCCUUGGCUCUUUCCAGGCAUGGUUGGUGAUUUAAAGCUUCGUGUCUGGGUGCCCUUCUUUUUGCUCCAGGGCUUUCUCUGUGAAAACUUGCUCUUCAGUGCUCAAUCUGAGCCAACGCCAAUCCAGGGAAAAUCUGAAUUCAGCUUUAAAGAGGAGAAGGUUUUUGCAGGAAAAUCUUGGGGGGGAGGGGCGGGACGGCUCAAACACAGAGCCUGUAAAGAGUGAGGCAAAAGGUAUCUAAAGUGUAUAAGGCCCUUUUAUCCUCUCUUUCUUCCCCGCUCUCACUUUUGAUGUUGCAGUCCCAGACAAAAUGCAUGGUCACAUUGCUGGAUUUUGCAAAUUGUGCAAAAAACAAACAAACAAAAAGGCUUGCUAACUUGGGGCUGAUCCACACACUCCCAUCCUCACCAAGUCUUCCCUGCAAAAACCUGUUCUUUAAAGCUGAAUCAGAACAAGCAUCAAUCAGGGUUUUCUGUGGGUUGACGUUUGCUCCCAUUGAGCACUAAAGACCAGGUUUUCACAGGAAAAGCUCUAGAGCAAAAUAAAUAAAUAAAUGGGGUGGGGAGGCACCUGGACACAGAGCUUCAAAGCACAGGCCAUGGCUGGAAAGAGUGGAGGAAAGGUAAGAGUGGAUAAACCUUCAGCUGAUGUUUGCAGAGCUCCCUGUUUUGUGCCAGUUCACUGACUGCUCAGGUGACUAGGGAUCCACAGUGGCUUCUCAGCUCCAGUUAGGUACAUGGCUAUACCUCAGGGCUGGGGGAGCUCUGGCCUACAGAUGUUCUGGACUCCAAAUCCCAUCUGCCCCAGACAGCAUGGCCACUGAUCAGAGAUUAUGGAAUCUGUCAUGGAUGUCGGGAAGGGGUAAGAGGCAAGGAGAAGCAGUUAUCCUGUGGAUGAACCUUAAUCCCAAGAGUCCAUGUUUUCAUUUAACAAUAAAAAGUAAGUUUUGAGCAUUUGUAGAACCUGAGAUAUGAGGCCAGGCACUAUGCAGGCACUAUUCUCAUUUCUUUUGUGAGAAACUAGCGUGCCCCUGCCUUUCAAUACAGUUUUCCGCUGAACAGUUACAGAAGUCAUUGACAUUUAGGAAAGGAGACCUAGCCAAGAAGACAAAGGGCACCUCCAGUCCAUCAAUAUUUGGGGGGAGGAAUUCAAGAACAUACUGGAACUUUUAAGUUUGCACAAUUAAAGUGGGUUAAAGGGCGCUGCUCGCAAAGCGCAACAAAUCAACUUUUAAAAAGAUUCACGCUUUUUGCAGCUUGGAAAGCAAUGGAGAAAAACAUUGGAAAGUGUGGAAUGAAUUAGGGAAUGGUUAAUGGGAAAAUGUUAAAACACGUAACAAGAAAAUCAGGAUAAAUGCAGAAGAACACCUUUGAAAACACAACUGGGAAAGCCUGCAAACACCCCAUGCCGCCUCUUUUGGUGACCUUUUGGGUAACGUCCGGAUUUGAUGCAAUGUGUGUAUAUACGGUUGCAUGCAUAUUGAACAUGCGUAAAUGGGGAGUUGCCUGUAUUUGAAGAUAUCCGUGCCUAAGGUUAGGAAGUAAGCGUCAAUAAAAAACCUCACCUCUUUUCAUGCUCUCUUGAAGAUUUCAAGGCCGCCAUUGAGGAUGUCCUUCCCGCUCUAAAGAAUGAAGGAGUCCAAGUUUUCUUCCUAAGCGAAGACUCCCCAACCGAGGGUGUGGAAGCUUUGCUUGGGCAGAUCCAAUCCAGCUCAGCCGAGCCUGUGCCCAUUUCCUUCAGAGCCAACGUAACUGCUGAAUCUACAUCCCUAUAUAUUUUCACCUCUGGGACUACAGGUGAGGAGGGGAAAGGUCACAGUGAUGGGUGAGGGGGGCAAUUAUGUCUGGAAAUCCCAUCUUCCUUCUACCUGCCCUACUUGUGUAUGGGGUCAUUAAGGGAGGGGUAGUGCCUUUGAUAAGGGACGCGGGUGGCGCUGUGGGUUAAACCACACAGCCUAGGACUUGCUGAUCAGACGGUUGGCAGUUCGAAUCCCCGCAAUGGGGUGAGCUCCCCUUGCUCAGUCUCAGCUCCUGCCAACCUAGCAGUUUGAAAGCACGUCAAAGUAGAUAAAUAGGUACUGCUCCGGCGGAAAGGUAAACGGCGUUUCCGUGCGCUGCUCUGGUUCGCCAGAAGCAGCUUAGUCAUGCUGGCCACAUGACCCGGAAGCUGUACGCCGGCUCCCUCGGCCAAUAAAGUGAAAUGAGCGCCGCAACCCCAGAGUCGGCCACGACUGGACCUAAUGGUCAGGGGUCCCUUUACCUUUACCUUAGUGCCUGUGAUGGGGAAUCUGUUUGUUCCUUCUGGGGUAGUUUGUCCCACCUUUGGUCCCCAUCUUGCACUCAGCUCUCACCUGUGGCUCCUAGAAUCUGUCAACAUGGGAAGGAAUGUAUUGGGAUCCCAGCAUGUUACGCUUUCCCACUGGACGGAGUCAUUUGUGGUUGUUAAAUGAGUCCUUCUCUUUUUCCUCAAGGGCUACCGAAAGCUGCUAUCCUUUCCCAGAGGAAGAUGCUGAUAGCAUCCAACCUAUCAGGCCACCUUGGGGCCGGCCCCAAGGACAUCGUCUACAUCCUGCUCCCUCUGUACCACUCAGUUGCACUCUUAGUUGGGGUUGGAGGAUGCCUGGAAGCUGGUAUGUAUGGAAUGUCCACUCACACGCCUCCUCUGCAAGAGGGUGAUAGGUAGAGAUGGGUUGAUAAGUGCAUAGACAUACACACAUCCAUGAGUGCAGAUGUACUCUCAAGUUAGACUGAGAGACUGGCCCAAUAUCACCCAGUGAUCUUCAGGGCGAGUGGGGACCAGAGCCCUGGUCUCCCGGGUCCUAGUCUGAUGCUCUAACCACUACACAACGCAACCUCUCUCCACAUAGGAUCCUUCCUCACCACAUAUUUGGACUUUAUACAUUGAAAACACCUGCCGCCAUUUAAUUCUGAACAUUCUUUCAUCCACCCAUGGGAAGAAGCAGACCAGGAAACCUACAUGUGAAAGUCAAACAUAUUCAGGCUGUGUACAUAACAUGAUUUUAAAGCGCACUGCUCCCCUGCGCCAAAGAACCAUGAGAACUGUAGUUUACCCCUGACAGAGCUACAGUUCCCAACCUCCUUAACGAAAUCCUCCAGCCCUGUUUCAGCUGCUGUCUGGCUCAAGAAGCAAGGAGGCUUUUGUAUCUGUGAGGGUUCACUGCACAUUUAGAGCAAAUCCCUUAGUUGCUGCAUUUUGCUCCAGCUGAAGUUUCCAGACACUUUCCAGAGGCAGCCCAACAUAUGACUUACAUUGCAAUAAUAUAAUGCAUGGCACUUAGAACUGCAUCUGCCUAUACCAGUGCUCACAACAAGGCCACACCUAAGCCACUCUCUCUUUAUUCCCACAAGGGUCUACGUUUGUCUUGAAACCUAAGUUCUCCGUUUCUGAGUUCUGGAAUGACUGCAGACGAUAUCGGGUGUCCCUGAUCCUGUAUGUGGGAGAAAUGAUGCGCUACCUGUGUAAUGUGGAAAAGGUAAUAGUUGACAAGAGAGGCCAGUUUUGUUGUUGCGGCAAAAAUGUUGCCAAGUAUUCAGAUGGAUUGUCCAUUUGGAUUCACAGCUGAAUCCAAAAAUAUAGAUGGGGGCUGCACCUAGAGGUCAAAGUCAAGAGCCCCACACAGCCAGGAAGCUCGCAAAUGACCACCUGGAGAGCAGCCAUCUUCUUUUCUCAUUGUUUUUUAAAAAUCCAUUUUAUUGCAGAGGAACAGCUGGUGAAGCGGGUACACAGUUGCAGGCACUCAUUUUAUUAUUAUUAUUAUUAUUAUUAUUAUUAUUAUUAUUUAACUUAAAAAUAUAUUCCUCCUUUUCUAGGCAGCAGUGCCCCUGGUGAAUGCCACCCCAUCUCCAAAAAACAAACAAACAAACAAACAAACAAAACCCUCAAAUGCUCCAGAAGCUGCAUCAAUUUCCAGGGUAGUUUAUGGCCCUGUCAGUUUCUUUUGCUUGGUUUUUAAAAGAAGGCCCAUGGGCCCUGGCAGCUACCUGAGAACCAGAAUUGGAAACCAUGGUUUGGAAACCUUUGGUGACAUUGGUUGCCUUCUAUCUGUGGCACAGCACGUAAAUUGUGAGAUUUGUUCCUGCAAGAGCCAGUGAAGGCCGCCAACUUGGGUAGGCAAAUUCUGCUGUUGUGCUCUGUUGCUGCUUGUUGGCUUCCCACAGGUAUCUAACAGAUCAAGAUAAUAAUCAUAAUAAUCAUAAUAAUAAUUUAUUAUUUAUACCCUGCCCAUCUGGCUGGGCCUCCCCAGCCACUCUGGGUGGCUUCCAAGAAAAUAUUAAAAUACGGUAAUGCAUCAAACAUUAAAAGCUUCCCUAAACAGGGCUGCCUUCAGAUGUCUUCUAAAAGUCUGGAAGUUGUCGUUCUCUUUGACAUCUGGUGGGAGGGCAUUCCACAGGGCAGGUGCCACUACCGAGAAGGCCCUCUGCCUGGUUCCCUGUAACUUGGCUUCUCACAGUGAGGGAACCGCCAGAAGGCCCUCGGCACUGGACCUCAGUGUUUGGAUAGAAUGAUGGGGGUGGAGACGCUCCUUCAGAUAUACUGGACUGAGGCCGUUUAGGUGUUGUACCAGGUGGGCCACUGCCCUGAUUCAAGGCUAUUCUUAUGGCAUACUGUUUAAAUAACAGCCCCUCAGCUGCAGUCUGAACCAGGUGAAGUUUCCAAAGAGCCUUCCUAGGAAGCCAUUCACAGAGCACAUUUCAUUAACCUGACAUGUUUGUUAUCAGGAGGACAGGAAGCCGGCACUGGUCAGUGUGGCAUCAUUGUUAGAGUGUUGGACUAUGACCUUGGAGACGGGGGUUCGAAUCCUCACUCAGCCAUGAAGCUAACUGGGUGACCUUGAGCCAGUCACGAUCUCUUAGCCUAACCUACCCCACGAGGUUGUUGUGAAGAUUAAAUGGGGAGGAAGAGAACCAUGUCCAUCACCUUGAGAUCCUUGGAAGAUAAAGGUGGCAUAGAAAUGUAUAAUAAUAAUAAAUACUAGCAAAGUUUAUUUAGUUCAGCAGCGACCCCUCUGACAUGCUGCUUUGCAGACAGACAGCGACCGAGACCACUGUGUGCGAAUGGCAAUAGGCAACGGCAUGCGUGCGGAGGUCUGGAAGGAGUUCCUGCACCGAUUUGGACCCAUCCAAAUCUAUGAGAUCUAUGGAGCGACAGAGGGGAACAUCGGGUUUUUUAACACCACAGGAAAAGUCGGAGCUGUGGGAAGGUCCCACUUCCUCUACAAGGUAAUGAGAACUAAACUAGAAUAUCUCAGCAAACCCAUCGCUACCUGAAACCCUGUUUAUAUAUACAUUCUUAUCUAGAUAUACAUUCUUACCUAGAUCUUACCUAACCCCUGGAUGGUUAAGUCCAAUCAAAGGUGACUAUGGGGUGCAGCACUCACCUUGCUUUCCAGACUGAGGGAGACGCUGUUUCGGCUGCAGACAGCUUUCCAGGUCAUGUGGUCAGCAUGACUAAACCACUACUGGCACACAGAUGAGUGCCAGUGCACAGGGAAAUGCAGUUUACCCUCCCACCACAGUGGUACCUAUUUAUCUACUCGUACUGCUAUGCUUUCAAACUGCUAGGUUGGCAGAAGCUGCGACAGAGCAAUGGGAGCUCACCCCGUCGUGCAGAUUCAAACUGCCAACUUUCCGAUCGCAAGCCCAAGAGGCUCAGUGGCUUAGGCCACAGCGCCACCCACGUCCCUCUCUUGAAAUAUAUGGAGUGGAUGUGGCCCACGUCUUACUGCACACAAUCCAGAACUUGUUAUUCCUGCUGCACUCUAUUCACAGGGCAUGUCAGGACUGACCACCUCUCCUCUCAGACAGCUAGAAAGCAGUAGAGAGAAUGCAACACGAAGGUGAAGCAAGAUAAAAGCCCACAGCAGGGGAAAGUACAGGGAAAGGUACCAAGAAUUUUGUCGACAACCCCCAAGCAAAAAUGUACGACUUGGAAAGAUAGUUUGUUGGCAUAGUGCAGCCUCCGCAGGUUGCCCACUGCCCAGCUGUUCCUGCUGAGGUUUAAGCCUGAUCUCGUCCAUUAUGCCAAUCAAUGAAUCAGUGGCAAAGAGGGGCAUGGCUGCCAAGCCACACUGCCAACAGACAAAGAAGCAGCUCCAGUGGCACCUUGCUGCAUUUCCUUACUGUGUGCCGAGAAAGGGAAACCCUUUUCUCAGAACUCCGCAAGGAAGCAUGUCUGGUGAGGCAUUUGGGCAUGUGUAUAUCUGGAUUUGGGCCCGUCCACUUUGGGCUUUGCCCCCCAACAACAGCACAUCAUUAAACUCAAAUGAGGCAAUGCAGGCAAGAAAGGGGUUCUCUGCCCCUGAGCUUCAGCUGCUACCAGAGGAACUCUAACCAGUGAGGUACAGCAGCAAUGUUGAGGGGCCUUUGGCUCUCCAGAUGUUGAUGAAGUAUAACUCCCAUCAGUCCUGGCAAGCAUGGUCAGUGGCCAGGGGUGAUGGCUGCAGUUCAUUCAGCGACACCUGGAGGACCAAAGGUUCUCGAUACCUAGUUUAGAUCAAGGAGACCAGACUAAAAUCUCUGCUCAGCUGCAAAAUAUCAAAUAUUAUUAUUAUUAUUAUUAUUAUUAUUAUUAUUAUUAUUAGCUAUAAGCUCCCUGUUCCCUUGGGUCAUUCAUAAAAUAUAUUCCAGUCCAUGUGUAGCCUUGAAUUUCAGCCUUGUGGGAUCAUGUUUCCAUUUCCUGCUUGUUCCACCUCAGAAACUGGUAAAGUACGAAAUCAUCAAAUAUGACGUUGAAAAGGAUGAGCCUGUGAGAGACAAGAACGGACAUUGCAUCCCAGUGACUCCAGGUAAGCCAAAAAAGCUGGCAUUCAGAGAGGAACUGGGCUUUGUGUUGUCAGAGUCCUAACUCACAAGAAGGUACUGUACAUGGCCUCUAGACUGUGGAAAUUGCUCACAUGUCUCCCAGCAAGAAAGAUGGCAGAGUCCCUUCUUCACACAUAGAACAGAAGAAGAAUCAUCGAAAGAGGAAGUGUGAGCUACUCCUGCUUUGUGUUAAAUGUGAAGAGUCUUCAUCCAUCACUUCAGGGGCACCAGAAGGGAUGGAUGCAUCUGUCAGUUUCAACUUCAGUUUCUCAUUUCUCCAGUCUUAGGUUGCUUCCUGUUUAAUGAGCGUUCAUCCAGUUUUGUUUGCAGGGAAAUUAGAUGUCAUUGGUUGUUUAAUUCAUCCUGAUUUAUUUGCAGGGACGUUAGACGACAUUGCAUCAAAGCAAGCUUUAAUCUUCACUUUCUAGUCCAUUUCCCCCAUUCCAUUCCUUUGUGCAAAAAGUUCAAUAUUUGGGGGAAGGUUUGUUGCACAGGACCUCCUAUAAUUCCACAGACUGAAUUUGUUGGUAUGUGAUUGAAUCCUACCUGAAAAUAGGAUUCUAUAUCAGCUAAUUUUUAUUUAAUUUUUUUAAUUUAAUUUAAUUUAAUUUUUUAAAUUUAAUUUAAUUUAAUUUUUUAAUUUAAUUUUAUUUUUUUAAUUUUAAUUUUAUUUUUUAAUUUUUUUAAUUUAAUUUAAUUUUUUUAAUUUAAUUUUAUUUUUUUUAAAGCCACACAAAAAUUUGUUUCUUCUAUUGUACACAUGAUCCUGUGGGAUUUCCCCUAAUAUUCGCAUUUUGGAAAGUAAUUUUUUGUAAAAUAAUGUGUUUCUGGCCUGUCUUGAAUCUACUGCUCAGGGAUUUCACAGGGUGGCCCAACUGAGGCCAGCAUCCUGCCAAAUCAGCACUGUCUGCAGCAAUCAGGUGUGGUGAUGUGCUUCACCCAAUUUAGGGACUCAUGCCUGAGGAAACAGUGUCCUAAAGCAGAGUCACUCGCAUGUGCUCCCUUGCUGUGCAUUCUGACAGCUGCUAGAGAUGCCAGCAGUGGCAGAUGUCAGUGGCAGCAAGGAGAACGGUAGGAAGGCUGGUCCCCAGUAGCAUUGGCUGACUCCCACCGGAAGCACCCAGAGGCAGUCGUCUUGCCCGUGGUUCUUUGUUGGAGGAUGAAUAUUAGUUGGUUCAGCUUCGUUUCCUUUUCUUUUCCCAGGUGAGACAGGCUUGUUUGUGUCCAAAAUCACUGGGCUUGCCCCAUUCUAUGGCUACGCAGGAGACCGACAGAAGUCGGAGAAGAAGAUUCUCCGGGAUGUUUUCACCAAAGGAGACUGCUACUUCAAUAGCGGCGACCUUCUGAUGGAAGACCAAGAAGGCUUUCUAUAUUUCAAGGACCGGGUAGGAGAUACUUUCCGGUGAGUCCGGCCACACAGGUUCUGCGGCUGAUAUUCUGACAAAUGUAGAACAGGCAGUCAGCACCAGUGUUUCAUUAGCAUAGGUAGCAUUCACAAAUGCUGGCAAACACCUAAGAGCUAGUGUAGGGCAGUGGCUCAGAGUGUCAUGAAGCAUCUAGUUCAAAUCUCACCACAUUUGUCCCCAGGUGUAAUUUGGGUAUAAUAAGGCUCACUUAUCUUAUAGAUGUUGUUGCAAGGUGGGGAUGGGAAACCUGUAAUCCUGCAGGUGUUGCUGUACUACAGUUCCCAUCUUCCCUGACCACUGGCCACGCUGGUUGAGGUUGAUGGGAGUUGAGGUCCAGCCAGAUCUGGAAGGCCACAGGCUCCCUAUUGUCGCCGUAAGGAUCGCAACAAGAUCUUGUAAGUGAAGAGCUCUGAAUGAUUACCGUAAAACCAGUAUCCAAAUACUAAUAAGUAAUUUUAUCUCAUUACUGAUAACAAAAUAUCUAGCCCAUCCUUUGUCAAUGGUUAGUCACUGCUUCAAUGAAUAUGACUGGAUCUACGUACUUUUGCUCUUUCUACUGAUCGUUCAUUGUUUUUUUUAGAUGCUUGUUCAUUGUAUUUUAGGGCUGGUUGUUUUGAUACUGUUGUUAGUCGCCCAGGCUAUUCUAAAUAAAUAGCAGGAAAGGAAGAUGCACUUAAAUAAGGAAGAUCCCAGGGUGCGUUACAAGGCAAUAAUACAGUAAGGGCCCCUCUAGACCAGUGUUUCUUCGUGGAUAUAUUCUGCACAAUGCCAUUGGUGUAAUAAUAGCGCAUUAGUGGUGGAUUUAUACUGGACCAUGCGCACAUCAUUUUGCUUUAUGAGUUGUUCUGCGAUGCUUCCCCGACGUUAAUGCAUCAUCUGGAAGGGAUCCAGCAAAAGCUGCACUCUGCCAAGCAUUUGUGGCAUUAAAGGUUACUGGAUUAGAAGCAGGAAGUUACGGGAGCUUUAACAGUUGGGAACAAAGCCCUGAGUCCUCCCUGAAACUUUUGAAGGCACAAACAGUAUUGAAAGAGGGAGCAUGUAUAACUGCCCUGAUACCGUCAUGAGCACAAAGUAUGUAUACAAUUAAAAGGGUGUUUGGAGGGCCCCCAAAACAACCCCUAUAUCAAACCAACACAGCACAACUUACGGUAUAUAAGCUGGCAAGGAACCACAAACUGGCCUCUCGCUUGCGCCAAUGACAAAAUUCCCGAUUAUGAACGAAAGGAGGGAUGUUCACUUUUACCAAACCCAUCUGGGAAUAAUCUGUUUUGUCCAUGCAGCUGGAAAGGGAAAACGUGGCCACUACAGAAGUGGAGAACACCCUGGCACCACUGAGAUUCAUCCAGGAAGUCAAUGUCUAUGGGGUACCAGUGCCAGGUGGGUCUGAAAUUCCAUUGGAUCAAAACCCGUCUUUCUGCUGCCACAUUUAGCGUCCAAAUAUAUGGCAAGAUUAUUCGCUCACCAGCAACAAGGUUCAGUCGCUCACGAACGGCUGCAGCUCUUGGGUCAUUUGGAUUCUGUGAACCGAUUUGUGAAAGGCUGGUAGCGGAUAUCCCCAGACUGCAACUGAAUCACUCUUGCAAGAUAGUGGUCACGCCCACAACAUACAUUUACAGAAGCCUAUGUUUAAAGAGUCCGUGUGGUGUAGUGGCUAGAAUGCUGGACUAGGAGCUGGGAGACCAGGGUUCAAAUCCCCACUCAGUCAUGAAGCUCACUGAAGUGACCUUGGGCCAGUCUCUCACUCUCAGCCUCACUUACCUCAAAGGGUUGUUGGGAGGAUAAAAUGGUGUCGGAGCCAGCCGUUACAAAUGGCGAAGUUUAGCAUAAAAUAAAGACACAGAGAGCCAGCAAUAUUUUCAUGAUGGUAGGAGCAGCUCCUUUCGAACUUCCCUCUCCUCCUCCUGCAGCUUCUUUUUUUAUCCUUUGUCUCUCUCCAGCCGCAUGGCUGUUUGCCAAUGUCUCAUGUUACCUCAUCCGGUCAAGGCUUUUAUUGCCCCCUUCACCAUAUAGGGUCAAUCACUGCCCAGAGGAAACACAACUGCAUUUAAGUCAAUACAUUCCAAUACAUUGUAAAGCUCAGAGUGCUGGUCAGCCGAGGUCAGGGGCACCCUGCAAUAUUACAAGCCUUUACCGUGGCUUUAUGACUCCCACAAAAUGGGGAGGAGGUGAAGCUUGUUCACCGCCUUGAGCUUCUUAGAGGAAAGGUGGGAUAGAAAUGAAAUAAACAAAACAUUUAACACACACUUAAAGCACAUGGCUUCCUCAAGGAAUCCUGGGAAAUGCAAUCUGUUAGGGGUUCCAGGAAUUUUAGUUCCCGGGAUUCUUGGGAGGGGGAGGAAUCAUAGAAUCAACAAAUUAUAGAGUUGGAAGGGAACACGAGAGUCAUCUAGUCCAACCCCCUGCAACGCAGGAAGCUUUUGCCCAACGUGGGGCUUGAACCCAUGACCCUGAGAUGAAGAGUCUCAUGCUCUACCGAAGUGUGUUUUCAAUGUACCGUGUGGGAAUGUGACAAUCUGGAGGCAGUCCUGCAUUUCUGUGCUGGUUGUGAAGGAAAGGUUCUUGUUUUCCUCCACGGCUAGCUCAAAAACCAAAAUGGUCAAUGUAGAAAAUCCAAAAAAAAAUUGGAAAAAGGAAAAGAUCAGAAGAACAAGAAACUGGAUCAUUCAUAUGGCAGGGUAAGCCUGUGUGAAUUGGAGUGUUUUAGCUAGCCAGUCCACAGCUGUUCUAGGUGCAUUCAUUUACAUGUGACAUGGCUUUCCACACACACCGCCAACCGGUUCCUUCUGGUUUGUUCCAGGCCAUGAAGGAAAGACUGGGAUGGCUGCAAUCUGCCUUAAGAAGGGGCACUCCUUUGAUGGGCAGAAGCUGUAUGCGCACGCCAAGGAUUUCCUGCCAGCCUAUGCCAUACCUCGCUUCGUUCGCAUCCAGGUACGAUCCCUUCUUGUCACUUUCCUCUCUGUGCUUGCUGCCUUGAGAAACCCCAUAGGUCAGCCUCCUACCCUGGGAAUUCUUCCCUUCCCUGCCUCUCACACUUCAUCAGCCAUCCAUCACCUUCUUGCUCAGCUGUUUCUCAAUCAAUGAAGCACCAGGGGGCAAGACCAUGCGGAGAGGAGGCUGGCUGGGUACAAUAUGUCUUUGUGAGCCUGUGCAUGAAUGGGCAUGUGUGUUUGAGAGAGUGUGGGGCACGGAUUCCUCUAUAGUGUCCUUUCCUGACUUUUCGGCUGAUUCCUAAUCAGAGGAGCAGCAAGGGGAGGGGAAAGGGUGUGUGUGUGUGUUGCAUGAAUGUGUGAGUGUGAAAGGGUGUAGAAUGACCUCAUCCAUGGCCAGCUCUGCAUGCACACACACACACACACACACACACAGCCAAAAGAAUGAGACCCUCCAGCUGAAAAUGCAUUCCCUGCCUAUAGACAAGCACUGACCCAGGGCAGGCCAAGUCAGAAGACAUAGUCUCAUCCAGACUUUCUUUUGUGCCACACUUUCCAAGUACAGGUCUGUGCUUUAAAACUCUGCGUCCAAUAAGUUUUUUGUUUAUUUGUUUAUUUUCUCGGGGGGCUCCCUCCCCCCCCCCCCCGGGAAAACCUGUAUUUUACCGCUGAAUCAGAGCAAACAUUAAUCCAUGGAAACAGGGGUGCUAAUUUGAAUAAAACAUGGGGGGCAGGUAUUGUAUGAGAGGGAAGGACGUUGGCCCCUAGGAGUUGGCUCCUAUGCAUGGAAGCCCUGACUGUCAUUUCCUCCAAGCUUUCCCAGGGAAAGUGCCAGGAUAAAAACAACAACACUCAAAGACAGCCAGCACAAAAGGAAGUCCGGAUGAGCCCUGAGUCAUAGAUCCAUGUUGUUUGGCCUUCAGCAACCGGGUGUCAAUGAACAGAGUGAAAUCCACUCUCGUUAUCUCUAAUGAGAUGCUUAAGAUGCCAGCUCCCCUAGCAGAGCUCAGAGCCUGUUCUUGUACAUCUGUCUGCCACUGCUCAAAACACUGACUCCCUUGGCCUGCUCUAGGAAUGUCUUGGAGCGGGGUGUCGUUGGUUGUUCUCUACUCACUGCACUGCUCUUUCCCAUGCAGGACACCCUGGAGAUCACGGGCACUUUCAAGCAGAUCAAAAGCCAGUUGGUAAAGGAAGGAUUUGACCCUGCUGUCAUCAGUGACCCCCUCUUCUUCCUCGAUGACUCUGAAGCAUGUUACAUGCCCUUGACUCCACAGAUCUUCAGCACCAUUGCAGAGAGGAAGCUGAAGCUGUGAAAAGGAGCAAUUGUCUCUUUAACUGCCCUAGUGGCAACCUAGGAACAACUAUAGUGUUGAGCUACUUGGCUUCUGCCUGGGAAAGGGGGGGGGGUAAUCUAUUGCCACGGCAGAGCUUUCCAAACUUUUCAUGUUGGUUGAUGGGAAGUUCUGCUUCUGCACAUGAGUCUGGCAAACCGCUCUAAGCUGAAGCGUUCCUUCCUCACCCACCCUAGAAUGUUUAGUUCACAUUGAGUUCAUGAAACAUCGUACCCUGACCUGUUCUUAAUGCAUGGUUGACCACAUCUACGGAAUGCGAUAGUUAUGCUCUUUUAAUUUUUGCAAUAUCAAUCACUAGUAAUAGUUUAAUAAGGAGGUUUUCAUACCUGUCCAACCAUGUGUUCCCUUUCCCAACCUUUAAUCUAUUGAUGAUUAAUGCCUAUAUGCAACCCUUGCAUUGUAUUUGUGUUAACCAAUCAGCAACAAGCACAUAUGUGGCAAUGCUGUAAUAUUCAAUAAAAGGGACUCCCCGAGACAUGCUCGAGAGAUGCCUCCCAUAUGACACUUGUCAUUCGUCUGUCGUUUAUUUCAACCCAACAGUUGGUGACACACUUUUUAGACAUACAUCAUUUCAUGACACGGUAAUUUAGUUCUACUAGCAAACCAGAGGUUAAACGAGCCCUUUCCAGCCCCGGGAGGAGCGAGGGAGCAUUCACGUGACAUACCUACACACUGCAGCCGACACACAAAUGUGUCACGACACAUGGUUUGGAAAGCUCUGUGCCAUGGUUCUCAAAGUGGGCAGUUAGCCACCCCAGGUUGUGGUGAAGGGAUUACACGGUGGGUGCUAAGAGACAAGUGGGGGUGGCACUGAAGGUGUAAAUGACUAUUGGAUUUUGAACAAAUGUGAAAAAAAAUUCCCCAAAAAUUUUAUUAGUUUUCCACAUUUAUGACAAAUAUAACAUAUGAAACAAAACACAUUACAAUACUUAAAAAAGGAAAAAAACACAUAUUCUUUCUUAUUUUCAUUUUAAUUUCCAUUGUUAAGUGACUUCCUCAAAUCCCCCCUAACUGAAUUUCAUUAUAUAACCUUGUAACAGUUCUCCCAAACAUCUUUCUAGAUAAUUAGUUCCUUCAAUUGACUAUAUUCAACUCUUUUCUUAUUGUCUUAAAUCCAUAUUGCUAUGCCACAUUCUUAUUGUUAUCUUAGGCCUGUUUAGUAAUUUCAAGAACCUUCUCAAUUAUCUUAUAUUACAAUAUCAUAGUCUUUAACUUUCAUCCAGUCUUCUUGGUUUUCCUCCUCUUUCUGUUCACGAAUUCUUCCAGUCAGGUCAGCCAGCUCCAGAAACUCCAACAUCUUCAUCUGCCGUUCUUCUACCAUUGUUUUUUCUUGAGAUUUCCAAUUUUCUGCUAAUAGCAGUAUUGCCGCUGUAGUGGCAUACAAAAAUGACCUAACAUCUUUUUUGGGCAAUUCCAGUCCUAUUAUUCCCAGUAAAAAGGCUUCUGGUUUCUUUACAAAUGUAUAUUUCAACAUUUUAACUCAUUAUAAAUCUUUUCCCAGAAGUCCUUAACCUUAGGACACGUCCAUCACAUAUGGUAAAAGGUGCCUUCCUUUUCUUAACACUUCCAGCAUGAGUUAUCAUACGUAUGAUAAAUCUUUGCUAGUUUUACCAGGUUUAAGUACCACCUAUACAUCAUUUUCAUAUUUUCUUUUAGUACCGUACAUGCCGUGAACUUAACCCCUUUCUUUCACAACCUUUCCCAAUCUUCCAAUAUUAUAUUGUAUCCCACGUCUCUUGCCCAAUCUAUCAUAACAGAUUUGACUUAUUCAUCCUUUGUAUGCCAAUCCAACAGCAACUUAUACAUUUUAGAUAGAUUUUUAACAUCCGUAUCUAACAACUCUGUUUCCAAUUUGUUUUUUUCCGUUGCAAAACCAUUUUUCUUAUCAAGCUUAUACAACUCAUUGAUCUGGUAAUAUUGUAACCAACCAUCCAGUUUAUCUUUAAUUUGAUCAAAUAUUUUCAAUUUAAAUCCUUCAUUAUCUUCCAACAAUAAAUCAGCAUAUUUCAACCAUUUUAGUCUCCAUAUUUAGUUUUUUCUGGGCCUUAGCUUCCAUUGGUGAAAGCUACCUGGGUGUUUUCCUUCUAAGAGAUCUUUGUAUCUUAUCCAAACAUUAUAUAGAGAUUUUCUAAUUACAUGAUUUUUAAAACCUUUGUGGGCCUUUACCUUGUCAUACCAUAGAUAUGCAUGCCAACCAAAUACAUUGUCAAAUCCCUCCAGAAUCAACACUUCAAAAUUGUCUAAUUGAAUCCAUUCCUUUAUCCAGCAGAAAGCUGCAGCUUCAAAAUAUAUCUUCAGGUCUGGCAGGGAUAAUCCCCCUCUUUCUUUCUUUUUUUUUUUUAUAAAAUAUUUAUUAGAAUUUUACAAUAAACAUAGGUUUAAAAAAAUUAAGAAAAUUAAACCAAAGAUUACACAUAAACAGAAAAAGAAAAAAGAUAACAAGGAUAAUACCAAUAAAACAAGAACCUAAGAUAAUACCAAAAAAAACAAGGACCUAAAAGAGAAAAAGGAAAAUACAAAAUACAAAAAACAGAUGGCUU